The sequence is a small nucleolar RNA, 273 nucleotides long. It matches the Rfam family "Small nucleolar RNA snR191".
CACCAAAGUUUUUUGUCAGGACUUUCUCAUUCUAUACUCUUCAAGAGUGUUAGAUCAUUACAAUAUGGUUUGUCUGUUACAACUUUGGAAGAUCAAUUUAUCACCGCUUUUGUUCAUUCCCGUUAUGGGAAAUGAAUGAUACCUGUUGAUCUCGUUUUGAGAUCGGCUACUUAGGUGACUUGUGGGAUCUUAUGAGUUGAACAUCUUCUGCUGGCCUUUAUUGGUUUUAUUCAGCAUUUCAUGAAGAUUUUCGUAGUAAAGAACCCAACAACC